Molecule: ribosomal RNA, 220 nt
Filed under: uncultured bacterium
Lineage: Bacteria
Description: partial 16S ribosomal RNA
Rfam family: Bacterial small subunit ribosomal RNA
Source: RNAcentral
CAUGGGUGACCUGCCUUCCAGUGAGGAAUACCGGCGAGAAAUCGCCGACAAUACCGCAUAGGCUCGCGGGGUCACACCUGCGAGCAAAGCUCCGCAAGGGGCGCUGGAAGAGGGGCCCGUGGCCGAUUAGCUAGUUGGUGGGGUAAGGGGCCUACCAAGGCGACGAUCGGUUGCUGGUCUGAGAGGACGAUCAGCCACACUGGGAUUGAGAACGGCCCAG